Long non-coding RNA from Grammomys surdaster, 265 nucleotides. RefSeq lists it as uncharacterized. The transcript has 3 exons. NCBI's taxonomy places the organism in Eukaryota, Metazoa, Chordata, Mammalia, Rodentia, Muridae. The record is from RefSeq and is a predicted model, not a curated record.
AUGAUGGACACUUAGUCCAGCAACAUGUCAGCUGAAGGAAAGGGUGGUACAACAUGAAGUCCCUCUCUGCAAAGGCCAGCACCUUGCUCUUAGAUUUCCCAGCCCUCAGCAAGAUGAGUCAGGUUCAAACCAUCCAAGAGCAGCUCAGAGGCACCACACAAUGGCUGGCCAUAUGGAGCCUGGUACAGGGCCGACUUCCAUUAGACCCCUCCUCUUCCCUCAAGCCACGUUGUGGCCUCUCUCAAGUCAAGACCUCUCUCCCAGC